GUGGGGAAUCUUGCGCAAUGGGCGAAAGCCUGACGCAGCCAUGCCGCGUGAAUGAUGAAGGUCUUAGGAUUGUAAAAUUCUUUCACCGGGGACGAUAAUGACGGUACCCGGAGAAGAAGCUCCGGCUAACUUCGUGCCAGCAGCCGCGGUAAUACGAAGGGGGCUAGCGUUGCUCGGAAUUACUGGGCGUAAAGGGCGCGUAGGCGGACAGCUUAGUCAGAGGUGAAAGCCCAGGGCUCAACCUUGGAAUUGCCUUUGAUACUGGCUGUCUUGAGUGUGGGAGAGGUGAGUGGAACUCCGAGUGUAGAGGUGAAAUUCGUAGAUAUUCGGAAGAACACCAGUGGCGAAGGCGACAUACUGGUCCAUUACUGACGCUGAGGCUCGAAAGCGUGGGGAGCAAACAGGAUUAGAAACCCCAGUAGUCC
This 425-nucleotide ribosomal RNA is filed under the name uncultured bacterium. Its description in RNAcentral is "partial 16S ribosomal RNA". It matches the Rfam family "Bacterial small subunit ribosomal RNA", at positions 354 to 796 of the family's 1533-position model. The record is from RNAcentral.